CUGACCAGCAUGCCGCGUGAGGUGAUGAAGGCCUUCGGGUCGUAAACCUCUGUCAGCAGGAACGAUGGGUCUCCGUGCUAAUACCACGGAGACUUGACGGUACCUGCAAAGGAAGCCCCGGCUAACUCCGUGCCAGCAGCCGCGGUAAUACGGAGGGGGCAAGCGUUGCUCGGAAUUACUGGGCGUAAAGGGUCCGCAGGUGGCCUCUUAAGUUGAAUGUGAAAUCUCAGGGCUUAACCCUGAAACUGCAUCCAAUACUGCGAGGCUUGAGUCCAAGAGAGGUUGGCGGAAUUCCCGGUGUAGCGGUGAAAUGCGUAAAUAUCGGGAGGAACACCAGUGGCAAAGGCGGCCAACUGGCUUGGAACUGACACUCAGGGACGAAAGCGUGGGUAGCGAACCGGAUUAGAUACCCGGGUAGUCCACGCCCUAAACGAUGGAUGCUAGGUGUGGGGAUGAAAAUCUCUGUGCCGAAGUUAACGCAUUAAGCAUCCCGCCUGGGGAGUAGGGUUCGCAAGAUUGAAACU
Molecule: ribosomal RNA, 524 nt
Filed under: uncultured delta proteobacterium
Lineage: Bacteria; Deltaproteobacteria
Description: bacterial SSU rRNA
Rfam family: Bacterial small subunit ribosomal RNA
Source: RNAcentral